UUUUGAUCAUACAAUCAAAAUUUUAUUAAGUUCAGUUUGUGUGUUACAUAUUUUAAUGACAGUGGUGUAAAACUCAGCCAAACAGUAUCCAAUUACAUUUGUAAAAAUUCAGCAUGGGUAUUAAAACACAUCAAUAAACAGGAGAAAACAUGUAAAAUGAAUGGCGGACAUAUAACUUCCUCAAAAGAGACAUUUCAUUUGAUUAGAAAAAACAAACAAGUGGUAAAAAUUUGGCCUCUCUUAUUUUGCAUUAGAAAAUACAUGCUACAAACCACAAAUGCAAAGAUACAGCAGCCAGCACUGUGAAAAUCCACUGUCACUUAAAGUUGGAGGACAUGAACUGAAAAUCUGAAACUGUCAUUGCUUUCAUCCUAAACAUGUACAAAGAUUCAGAAGUUAGAUUUACUGCCAUUACCAAUGGGAGAGCUAACACAACGCACAAGUUAAACAACUUGCAAUAGUGUUGUCUACACUCCUGGAACAUUAGUUUGUGUAUUACAUUCUGCGUUGCAGAUCUUUGCUUUACAAUGUUUCAUGAUUGCUGCUUAAGAAAACAAAGAUAUAAACAAACAUACCACUGCAUUAAAACUGUACUGUUAAACCACAACUGAACAUGAGGACCAAGUUUUGGACCUCAAAAGGCAUCAAUGAAAAAUUUUCACAUGUAGAAACGGUAAAGCACAGCGAACUGCAGCUGCUUUUAUACAUCCAGACAAUGACCUGACCACAGAUUUCUGUUAGUGAAGAAUUAUGUCACAGAUAAGCCAAGUGUAAUGUGAGAGCUUGUAAUGGAGCAAUGUUAGAACAGUAUACUUUCUAUUGUUACAUAAGAACUGGGAGAUUUUAGAGAACUUAGGUAUUCAUACCAACCUGUAUUUUAUACUUACAUGUGUUAUCUGAUGAUAAGACUGCUGCACAUACACUCAGGUCCAUAAGUAUAUGGACAAUGACACACUUUAUUUGUGUUUGUUUUUUUGUAAUUUAGCCUUUGUGGACCACCACACAACGAUGGAUUUUAAAUCAAAAAUAAACCAAAAUAAACAGCUGCCAAAUCAAUAAUCUGUUACAAGAAGGGACACAGGGGGGCAGCUGAGCAACACCAGAAAGCGUAGGAAACUACAGGAGAAACUAAAGUGGAUGAUCGCAGAAUUCUUUUCAGAAUCAGAAUCAGAAUCAGAAUACUUUAUUAAUCCCGAAGGAAAUUAGGGUAACAGCAGGCAGCACGCUAAUGGCGCAUGCGCACUUACAAAGGAACCUUCUGACCAACUUUACACAAACAUCACUUUGGGGAGACAUGUCAGAAAGGUAGGCUGAUAGGAAAAAAACAACAAAAAUACAUAACAUGAGGUAAGAGGAGGAGAAAAAAAACUCCACUCAGACUGAGCUCCUAGUGGGAGAACAGUUUGAUAACAGAAAAAACACCUCAGCACAAAAAGCACAUGACUAUCAGUACACCAUAGAAACACAAGAAAGGGUAAGAGAGAGCCGGUGUAGACAGCGCAUCUGGUCCUGCAGCGUGUCUGCG
Molecule: long non-coding RNA, 1525 nt
Organism: Astatotilapia calliptera (eastern happy)
Lineage: Eukaryota; Metazoa; Chordata; Actinopteri; Cichliformes; Cichlidae
Source: Ensembl